Molecule: long non-coding RNA, 473 nt
Filed under: Sorghum bicolor (sorghum)
Lineage: Eukaryota; Viridiplantae; Streptophyta; Magnoliopsida; Poales; Poaceae
Description: long non-coding RNA (SBIC_LNC007034)
Source: RNAcentral
ACUCGAAGUUGAAGGGGAAGAGUAUUUUUUGUUUUUCUUUUUGGUUCACAAAGAACCUCAUAAGAUUGGUGCUGACUUCUGUCUCAUGAGCUGUUGUCCACACUGCGUGCGGAGCCUAGAAAACAAUAUAAAGGUCAACGAACCCAAUACUAUUGUCAUUUCUCAUUCUGAGCUCUCUCAUUUGGUGCCUGCAUAUAUACAUACAAAUCCUAAGUGUGUAAGGAUUACAUACAUGUAAUUAAAGAAGUUAGAAGUAUAAUAAAAAGAAAAAAAAUACUUACAGAUAAAAGCAGCUCACAAGAGAUUUGUCGAGAGCGUCGAGGUGACAUAAUUGGUGCAAUUCUUCGAACUGCACGUAUAUGAGGUCAUCUCCACGGAAGUAGUGAUGUUGUCUAAUACGAACAGAAAUCUAAUUCUCUCCCCUUUUAGACGCCUCAAUCCACUAUUUGUUUAUUGCAAACAUUUGUGUGCCG